GAUGAACGCUAGCGACAGGCUUAACACAUGCAAGUCGAGGGGCAGCAUAGAAGUAGCAAUACUUUGGUGGCGACCGGCGCACGGGUGAGUAACGCGUAUGCAACCUACCUAUCAGAGGGGAAUAACCCGGCGAAAGUCGGACUAAUACCGCAUAAAACAGGGGCACCGCAUGGUGAUAUUUGUUAAAGAAAUUCGCUGAUAGAUGGGCAUGCGUUCCAUUAGGUAGUUGGUGAGGUAACGGCUCACCAAGCCGACGAUGGAUAGGGGAACUGAGAGGUUGGUCCCCCACACUGGUACUGAGACACGGACCAGACUCCUACGGGAGGCAGCAGUGAGGAAUAUUGGUCAAUGGGCGGGAGCCUGAACCAGCCAAGUCGCGUGAAGGAAGAAGGAUCUAUGGUUCGUAAACUUCUUUUGCAGGGGAAUAAAGUGCAGGACGUGUCCUGUUUUGUAUGUACCCUGAGAAUAAGGAUCGGCUAACUCCGUGCCAGCAGCCGCGGUAAUACGGAGGAUCCGAGCGUUAUCCGGAUUUAUUGGGUUUAAAGGGUGCGUAGGUGGUUUGAUAAGUCAGCGGUGAAAGUUUGCAGCUUAACUGUAAAAAUGCCGUUGAAACUGUCGGACUUGAGUGUAAAUGAGGUAGGCGGAAUGCGUGGUGUAGCGGUGAAAUGCUUAGAUAUCACGCAGAACUCCGAUUGCGAAGGCAGCUUACUAAGCUACAACUGACACUGAAGCACGAAAGCGUGGGGAUCAAACAGGAUUAGAUACCCUGGUAGUCCACGCAGUAAACGAUGAUUACUAGCUGUUUGCGAUACACAGUAAGCGGCACAGCGAAAGCGUUAAGUAGUCCACCUGGG
RNAcentral lists this ribosomal RNA (854 nucleotides) under uncultured Bacteroidales bacterium. RNAcentral's name for it is "bacterial SSU rRNA". It matches the Rfam family "Bacterial small subunit ribosomal RNA", at positions 28 to 877 of the family's 1533-position model. Lineage: Bacteria; Pseudomonadati; Bacteroidota; Bacteroidia; Bacteroidales. The record is from RNAcentral.